Molecule: ribosomal RNA, 484 nt
Filed under: uncultured bacterium
Lineage: Bacteria
Description: partial 16S ribosomal RNA
Rfam family: Bacterial small subunit ribosomal RNA
Source: RNAcentral
AUUGAACGCUGGCGGCAGGCCUAACACAUGCAAGUCGAGCGGAUGAAGGGAGCUUGCUCCUGGAUUCAGCGGCGGACGGGUGAGUAAUGCCUAGGAAUCUGCCUGGUGGUGGGGGAUAACGUCCGGAAACGGGCGCUAAUACCGCAUACGUCCUGAGGGAGAAAGUGGGGGAUCUUCGGGCCUCACGCUAUCAGAUGAGCCUAGGUCGGAUUAGCUAGUUGGUGGGGUAAAGGCCUACCAAGGCGACGAUCCGUAACUGGUCUGAGAGGAUGAUCAGUCACACUGGAACUGAGACACGGUCCAGACUCCUACGGGAGGCAGCAGUGGGGAAUAUUGGACAAUGGGCGAAAGCCUGAUCCAGCCAUGCCGCGUGUGUGAAGAAGGUCUUCGGAUUGUAAAGCACUUUAAGUUGGGAGGAAGGGCAGUAAGUUAAUACCCUGCUGUUUUGACGUUACCAACAGAAUAAGCACCGGCUAACUUCGUG